CAUGGCCGCACGUCGCCGCCGCAGCCACACUCAGCUCCUCCAGUUGUCGCCUCAGCUGUGUGCCACCAACCUUUCUGCGCUCGACAGCCUUCCGUGGUGAGAUUGAUGAGAAUCGACAGGACGAGAACCCCGGCCCCAGUCGGUCCCCUGCCCACCAUUACCGCUCUGCCCAUAGCAGCCUGCAGUCUGAAUGCAUACUGCUCGCUUCUGGACCGGCUGCACCGCUUCAACCUGUGCCGAGGUGGGGAGGGGGAUACAAGAAGCUAGCGUCCGACUGCCCGAGAGCGCCUCAGCGCGAGGUUUCCUCCGCGAGGGUGUCCUUCUGUUGUCGGUUAACAGUCCAGUGGUUAGCGACACUCUCACUAUGGAGGUCUCUACAUGUCUGGUGAGAAAAAGCUCUGUUGUUCUGGUCCUUUUUUUUCCAGAGAGUUGGAAUCAAGCACCGUUUCAAUGUUGUAAGCGGUCCUAGUGGUGCUGGGUUUCAAAAGUGUUCAUUACUAGAUACAAAAAAAUGAAAUAAAAACUAAUCAUAUAAUGAAUAAAAACAGAUGAAAACUAUUGUCUAACCAUUAAAUUAUAAUACAAUCUCAGUUUAUUAUUAAGAAAUCUUAUUUUACCUUGUUUAUUUUCACACCAACGGAGUUUAUUGAAGGUCAUUUUGGUUAAAUUCCAGCAGUUUUAAAUUCAAAGAUGUCCCUUUUCCAAAGUUUGGAUUUCACAACUUAAUUUUUCUCAGUGACUGUUUCUUUUUUUUAUUGCGUAAUCUCACUUUUCAUCAAGUCUUUAUUUGCCCAUCAACACAAACCAAAGAGUCAGUUGCGCUCCUCACAGGCAUCUUGAUUAUGUUGCUGGGAACCAAAGCGCUCUAGUUAGAGUACAUAACAUGGGAUUAUCAUUGUGUGCAUUUCUGUGCACAUAUGACCAACCUGCAGUGUGACCACUCCUUGAUGGUUGUUAGAAAGUGUUACUUUAGUUUGUUGUGGUAGAGGUAUAAUAUAGGUAUAAUGAGAAUCUUGGGGACAAACUUAUCUGAGUACUUUGAGUCCCACACAAUAACAAUCUAACAAUUAAGCAUGACAUCUGCAAAGUUGCUAAUGAAUCCAACUGUCAGAUGAAUGCAAAUGAUUUUUUUUUAAAAAGUAGUCUUGCAAAAUAGAAGUACAGUGCUUAUGUAAAUACACACUGCUACUUACCAUCUGUGGUAAAUUACAUAGCAGUAAAAUCCGCCUAGACAUUGUGUUGUUGUUCAUUCACUAGGACUUAUGUAAUGACUCAAGUGUGUUCCAUCUGUUUCAUAAAGCAUAAAGAACUGCGUGAGCUUAUUGAACCUUUACUCGCCCACACUUUAUUGUUCCAUCAAUGUCUCGUCCUUUCGGCUGCGAGCUUCUUGUCUCUGGGAUGUCAGAGGCAACCCAAGACGUUGAUUCUGUGUGAUUAACAGCUGGGCGGCGAACAUUAUACGCCCAUGGUUCAGCUGGACAUUUCAGAAUGGUACUUUAAUGGGAAGAAAUAUUCACUUGUUAUUGUUCUAUACACCCUCACUUGGAAAAGACUUGGUUAAUGUGAUGCUGUCAGAGUAACCAAUAGUAACAUGUAGCAACAAACACAGUUUUUAGCCUGUAGCCUGUGAGUAAUAUGUCGGAUGAUUCAGAGUUUUUUGUUCUGGAUGGAUAGGCCAGUGUGUGUGUGUGUGUGUGUGUGUGAGAGAGAGAGAGAGAGAGAGAGAGAGACUGUGUGACUGUGUUUCUUCAUCUCUGUGUGCAGACUGCAGGCAGAUGUCCAUGAGGGUGUAAGAAAGUGUAAUGUUCAGAGAGGCAGCCAGAUAGUCACUCAUGCUCAAAUUGUCCUACAGUUUUUCUUUCUCUCUCACACACACCCUCCGUCUCAGACUUUCUUCUUCUUCUUUUACAUUACCUAUCCAACACAUUUGCACAGGGGGGACUCCAGGAUAUUCACAGCGGCGGGCUUACUUCUCAAGACAUCCCCCUUGAGGGACAAUUUUUACAAAUUCCCUAAAUAAGGUCUGAAUGUAGAUGACAAACAUACAUGCAUGUUCAAUCCAAUAUAGUUCAGUUGAACACCCUGCAGCAAAUGUCAUUCAAUUCAAUUCAGACUCAGGCUCCAAAUAUAAGACAGGACCAUUACAUUUGCUAAUUUACAUGCAAAAGCUCAAUAAAAGAGUAUGUUCUAAGAGAGGAAAAAAGUAUACGUUAGUGUCUUACAGAGAGCAUACUGUACCACUGUCUCUACAGCUGGCACUGGUAGUAUGGGGCGCUAAACCUUAUGUUUGAUUAAACCAAGAUGGUUUCAUUUUCAGAGACACUAACACAGCAAAAAAUCCCUGUGAGUAUAUUCUUAAAGAUGUAUUUGUUUAACCCUUGUUUUUUCUUGACAUUGUCUUUACUUUCUCAUUGUGUGCGGUCCAGAAGACCUCAAUGUUGUGCGUGUAAAAGACAAAAUCUUUUUUUUUUCUCCCCUUCAAAUGUUUGCUUUUCUUUGCGUUUGACUGUAUCAACACCAGUGUAUGUUGAAGUGGUGACCCUCUCUUAGCCACAGACUGUGCUUGCGCAUUUGAUAAAGUUGACAAAAUACAGAAAUGACAAGGAUAAGGCAUUAUUAUUACACCAAAUAUGGCAAUAUUUAAUGUUUUAUUAUUUCAAGAUGAAGGUAGUGAAGUGUACAGGACAACGUCAUAUUGAGUGGUGUUUCUAAAUGUGCUGUAUGUCCUCCCUGAUUACAUACCUUAGGGGGGCAGAAUAUGAGAAACACUGACAACAUAAUGUAGUCCAGUGUACAGCAUCUCCACAAACUAUGCCCUAAAUGAUAAAAUCUACAAUAUGUCAAUAGUUAAAACUGAAUGUUUUAGGAAUCAUUAAAGUAGACUCAAGAUCAGCACAGUUUGUAUGGGAUGGCAUUGUAGAUUGUACAGGUGUGGCUAAUAAAGUGGUUACUGAGUGUAUCUUUUCCUUUCAUUUGCAAAAAAAAAAAGUCACACAGUGAUAAGUAAUUGGACAGCAUGUGGCCCUACAUAGAGAUAUGAACUUAUGUUUGGGGUCAGUUUGGCUACAGUGAGCUCCCUCUGGAUCUUCAUGUGAAGGAAGACAAGACGACCCAGAAAUCAAAAUCCUAUUGAUCAGAAACUCUCACAGAAUUAGGAAAAAUCUGGGCUCUGAGCUGAUGAAACAAGACUUAACUCACCAAAAAAAUGUUUUGUUGACUAUGGUUUAACGGUGACUAGAUUAUGACUGAAUUUUAAUUUUUGGGUGAAUAUAUCCUUUAAAGAGAGUAUAAGAAGCAGAAUAUUAGGGUAAAAUUGUCAGAGAGGUGUUUGCUAAUUUGUGUGGCACUGGUUUAUGGUGACGUUGUAUCGGACUCUAUUACAUUGUGCCACUUUUCUAAAAGUGUACUGUCAAAUAUUAUAUGUGUAGAAGUAACAAACAGUGGGUAUUCCUUAAAGAGCUAUAGUAUAAUAUUCAAUAUAUACAUUGUUAAUGACAAUAUGUCCGCUCCUUGUAAUAACAAAUGGAUAGAUGUGGUCAGAACUCUAUCAUUUCUACUGUACUGACUAAUAUAAUGUUCAGGCCCAGAAGUUUUGCCAAUAGAAAGACCAGUCUUUAUCUAAUGCUUAGUAUUGAUCAGAUGUUGGCGAGAGAUUGCUUGGUAGAUGGACUGUGUUAACCAACAGAAUCUAGCUACACAUCAUUAUCAAUUCCCAGUGUUUUCUGGUUCUUUCAAGCAGCACAGGGGAUUUGUAAGAUGGGUAAUUGAUGAUACUGCUUAAAAAGCUAUUAAACAUUAAUAAUUUAAACUGGUUGUCAUUAUAAUGACUGUGAUGAACGUUUACAGUGGGGACCUCUGCUGGAGAGGAAGAACUGUUGAGACUAGAUUGUGCCACUCGGUGGUCAAAAAGUAUUAUCACAAAUUUGCAACAGCCAUAACACCAUUUCUCUCACUCCCUGGUUGUCAGAACUAUGUUAUAUGCCUUUCGUCACCUUUAGCUGACAUAUUAAAAGUCCAUAUCAUACCUGAACUGAGUGCUUCUUGUAAUUUCUGUCAUGUAUUUGUUUC
Long non-coding RNA from Sparus aurata (gilthead seabream), 4068 nucleotides. NCBI's taxonomy places the organism in Eukaryota, Metazoa, Chordata, Actinopteri, Spariformes, Sparidae. The record is from Ensembl.